AUUGAACGCUGGCGGCAGGCCUAACACAUGCAAGUCGAGCGGAUGAAGGGAGCUUGCUCCUGGAUUCAGCGGCGGACGGGUGAGUAAUGCCUAGGAAUCUGCCUGGUAGUGGGGGAUAACGUCCGGAAACGGGCGCUAAUACCGCAUACGUCCUGAGGGAGAAAGUGGGGGAUCUUCGGACCUCACGCUAUCAGAUGAGCCUAGGUCGGAUUAGCUAGUUGGUGGGGUAAAGGCCUACCAAGGCGACGAUCCGUAACUGGUCUGAGAGGAUGAUCAGUCACACUGGAACUGAGACACGGUCCAGACUCCUACGGGAGGCAGCAGUGGGGAAUAUUGGACAAUGGGCGGAAGCUUGAUCCAGCCAUGCCGCGUGUGUGAAGAAGGUCUUCGGAUUGUAAAGCACUUUAAGUUGGGAGGAAGGGCAGUAAGUUAAUACCUUGCUGUUUUGACGUUACCAACAGAAUAAGCACCGGCUAACUUCGUG
This 484-nucleotide ribosomal RNA is filed under the name uncultured bacterium. RNAcentral's name for it is "partial 16S ribosomal RNA". It matches the Rfam family "Bacterial small subunit ribosomal RNA", at positions 30 to 507 of the family's 1533-position model. The record is from RNAcentral.